GAUGAAGAACGUAGCGAAAUGCGAUAAGUAGUGUGAAUUGCAGAAUUCAGUGAAUCAUCGAAUCUUUGAACGCACAUUGCGCCCUUUGGUAUUCUUUAGGGCAUGCCUGUUCGAGCGUCAUUUAAACCUUCAAGCUCAGCUUGGUGUUGGGUGACUGUCCGCUUCACCGCGGACUCGCCUCAAAAUUAUUGGCGGCCGGUACAUUGGCUUCGAGCGCAGCAGAAACGCGAACUCGGGCCCGUCGUAUUGGCUCCCAGAAGCUAUCUUCACAAUUUUGACCUCGGAUCAGGUAGGGAUACCCGCUGAACUUAAGCAUAUCAAUAAGCGGAGGA
RNAcentral lists this unclassified non-coding RNA (332 nucleotides) under soil metagenome. RNAcentral's name for it is "partial contains 5.8S ribosomal RNA, internal transcribed spacer 2, and large subunit ribosomal RNA". The stretch from base 1 to 120 matches the Rfam family "5.8S ribosomal RNA", at positions 35 to 154 of the family's 154-position model. The record is from RNAcentral.